This 316-nucleotide long non-coding RNA is filed under the name Ananas comosus (pineapple). RNAcentral describes it as "long non-coding RNA (ACOM_LNC000252)". Lineage: Eukaryota; Viridiplantae; Streptophyta; Magnoliopsida; Poales; Bromeliaceae. The record is from RNAcentral.
GUAUAACAUUAUAAAUUAUUAAUUAUUUAGUUAAUGUAUAUAUCUAAAUAAUAAGGUUUUGUUUGGAAUUACGAAAAAAUUGCGCUACGUGCAGUGGAAAAUUAUAUUGAAAAAAUACCCUGUUUAUUUCCGUACGUAAUAUUGCGUUCCGCAUAUCGCGAUGAGUCGGAUAUAUUUUCUGCGGUCCCAUCAGAUAAUACAGAAGCAUAUCCUAUAUGUUUUUUUCUCAACUCUAUUUUAUCUAAUAGCGUUAGAUAGGUCUGAAUACCAAACUAAGCCUAAAUAAUAAAUCUUAGUUGAUUAUAAAAUAAAUCCC